This 251-nucleotide ribosomal RNA is filed under the name uncultured bacterium. RNAcentral describes it as "partial 16S ribosomal RNA". It matches the Rfam family "Bacterial small subunit ribosomal RNA", at positions 15 to 256 of the family's 1533-position model. The record is from RNAcentral.
GAUCAUGGCUCAGGACGAACGCUGGCGGCGUGCCUAAUACAUGCAAGUCGAGCGAAGUUUUUCUGGUGCUUGCACCGGAAAAACUUAGCGGCGAACGGGUGAGUAACACGUAAAGAACCUGCCUCAUAGACUGGGACAACUAUUGGAAACGAUAGCUAAUACCGGAUAACAGCAUUAACUGCAUGGUUGAUGUUUAAAAGUUGGUUUUUGUCUAACACUAUGAGAUGGUCGUUUGUCGGGUGGUCAUUAAG